CAAACAAUCAAGGCCUCUGUCUGAACAAGCAGAAUCUCUGCUGCAGUGUCCUGAGAAUGCACAGUCCAUCUAAAUAAGGACAUUCCCAUAGUUUGGGGGUCCGCAAUCUCCCCAGAUCUCUAUGUCCAUGUCUAUGUCCACGUGGCUUCUCUGUGUUCUGGUGAUUUAGCCAGAGUGCCUGACUUUAUAAUUUUUCUGAUCUAAGCUGCGGUGGUGACUUUAAUGAAGUUUCUACCUGCAGUAUUUCCAUUAGUAUUCAAGGUUAAGUUAGCAUUUUUGUCAUUGUAUUGUUGCUAUUUUUGCCUGUUUAUUUAGCAUUGUUGGCUCUUUAAACUAAGUCUCUGUUGUCACUAAGUGCUAAUCUGUUACAAUUCAUUCUCACUUUCAUUUGAGGAUCAAACGCGUCUGACACCCUGGGGCAUGGCUUAAAGUUUGGCCAGAGUUUUUGUUUUAAUAUUUAUUGUGGCUGUCAUCGCUCAUUCC
Molecule: non-coding RNA, 483 nt
Organism: Pelobates cultripes (western spadefoot toad)
Lineage: Eukaryota; Metazoa; Chordata; Amphibia; Anura; Pelobatidae
Source: the annotation of a GenBank genome assembly